ACGAAGGUGUGGCGGCGAACAGCCGUCCACACUGACGGUACCUCCAGAAGAAGCCCCGGCUAACUACGUGCCAGCAGCCGCGGUAAUACGUAGGGGGCUAGCGUUGUCCGGAAUCAUUGGGCGUAAAGCGCGCGUAGGCGGCCCGGUCAGUCCGCUGUAAAAGUCAAAGGCUCAACCUUUGAAUGCCGGUGGAUACUGCCGGGCUAGAGUCCGGAAGAGGCGAGUGGAAUUCCUGGUGUAGCGGUGGAAUGCGCAGAUAUCAGGAGGAACACCGAUAGCGAAGGCAGCUCGCUGGGACGGUACUGACGCUGAGGCGCGAAAGCGUGGGGAGCGAACAGGAUUAGAUACCCUGGUAGUCCACGCCGUAAACGAUGGGCACUAGGUGUGGGAGGUGUCGACUCCUCCCGUGCCGACGCUAACGCAAUAAGUGCCCCGCCUGGGGAGUACGGCCGCAAGGCUAAAACUCAAAGGAAUUGACGGGGGCCCGCACAAGCAGCGGAGCAUGUGGUUUAAUUCGACGCAACGCGAAGAACCUUACCUGGGCUUGACAUGUAGGUGACAGCCGUGGAAACACGGUCUUCCUUCGGGACACCUUCACAGGUGGUGCAUGGCUGUCGUCA
Molecule: ribosomal RNA, 620 nt
Filed under: uncultured bacterium
Lineage: Bacteria
Description: bacterial SSU rRNA
Rfam family: Bacterial small subunit ribosomal RNA
Source: RNAcentral